GUCUACAGCGAUACCACCUGAACAUGCCUGAUCUCGUCUGAUCUCAGAAGAUAAGCAGGGUUGUCCCUGGUUAGUACUUGGAUGGGAGACCACCUGUGAAUACUGGGUGCUGUAGGCU
Tupaia belangeri (northern tree shrew) is the source of this 118-nucleotide ribosomal RNA. NCBI's taxonomy places the organism in Eukaryota, Metazoa, Chordata, Mammalia, Scandentia, Tupaiidae. The record is from Ensembl.